CCCUUAGAUGUUCUGGGCCGCACGCGCGCUACACUGAUGCAUUCAACGAGUUUCUUCCUGGUCCGAGAGGAAUGGGUAACCUUUUGAAAGUGCAUCGUGAUAGGGAUAGACUAUUGCAAUUAUUGGUCUUCAACGAGGAAUUCCUAGUAGACGUAGUUCAUCAGACUGCAUCGAUUACGUCCCUGCCCUUUGUACACACCGCCCGUCGCUCCUACCGAUUGAAUGCUCAGGUGAGCCAUUCGGACUUUCAUCAUGCUGGUUGCCAGUUUUGAUGAAGGAAAGUCUUGCGAACCUUAUCAUUUAGAGGAAGGAGAAGUCGUAACA
Molecule: ribosomal RNA, 324 nt
Filed under: uncultured eukaryote
Lineage: Eukaryota
Description: partial 18S ribosomal RNA
Rfam family: Eukaryotic small subunit ribosomal RNA
Source: RNAcentral